GUAGUCAUAUGCUUGUCUCAAAGAUUAAGCCAUGCAUGUCUAAGUAUAAACAAAUUUGUACUGUGAAACUGCGAAUGGCUCAUUAAAUCAGUUAUAGUUUAUUUGAUGAUAACUUACUACAUGGAUAACUGUGGUAAUUCUAGAGCUAAUACAUGCAUCAAACAGCCCCGACUCCUGGAAGGGGUGUACUUAUUAGAUAAAAAACCAACGCGGCUUGCCGCUCCCUUGGUGAUUCAUAAUAACUUUUCGAAUCGCAUGGCCUUGCGCCGGCGAUGCAUCAUUCAAAUAUCUGCCCUAUCAACUUUCGAUGGUAGGAUAGUGGCCUACCACGGUUUCAACGGGUAACGGGGAAU
RNAcentral lists this ribosomal RNA (353 nucleotides) under uncultured fungus. RNAcentral describes it as "SSU rRNA". It matches the Rfam family "Eukaryotic small subunit ribosomal RNA", at positions 20 to 370 of the family's 1831-position model. Lineage: Eukaryota; Fungi. The record is from RNAcentral.